Long non-coding RNA from Herpailurus yagouaroundi (jaguarundi), 354 nucleotides. RefSeq lists it as uncharacterized. NCBI's taxonomy places the organism in Eukaryota, Metazoa, Chordata, Mammalia, Carnivora, Felidae. The record is from RefSeq and is a predicted model, not a curated record. The transcript is spliced from 3 exons.
GGCUGACUCAAACCUGGACCCACUCCUGUCAUGUGAGAGGGAUGGAGAAGCCCUGCAUCUGGUUCUUGAAGUAAAGGCCUUCAUCACUCUUUUCCUCAAAGAGCUGCAUGUCGAUUAGAGUCUUGGAACAAUCGCUUUCCACUGCUCAUUGGCCCAGCUCACUGGCCUCUUGCCCAAGGACAGGUAACGGGCACAUGAAGAGACAGCGGAAGCAGUUCUGCGCCAACCAAAAAAGAUCUCAACCCAGGAGGUGCCUGGGUCUGUGACUUUGGUUUUUGAAAACCUAACACCUGGCACAAGGAAAUUCCUUAACAAUCUCACCACAUCUGUGUCCAGACAUUGCUGAUAUCAAGA